CACGUGUCCCCGGAAGUGUACGUCUGCGGUCACGGGGCGAGGCCGGCUCCCGGAAGACGCCGAUUUUAGCGUUUCCAAGGAGAUUAAAACGCCCUCGAGAAUACAGCUUACUUAAAGGAGCGCCUAAGGAGGUAAGAGGCUGGGUGUCUUGGCGAGCGGGUCUGCUUCUAAGACUGCACGAAGCAGCUACACACGGUGGAAGGCCUGUGUCCUAAGAUGGCGGCGACCGCGGCUAGACAGACUUCCCUGACCUUGAGCCUGGUCAGCCUGGGGGCGGCAGCGCCCCUCGUGGUGUGGAGGUGAACAACAACAACGAAACCACGGUGAUCGUAGACUUUCAACUUCUGUGUACUUGGCAAAAUAAGAAUAAAUUAUUCAAUACUUAGCAUUGUAUACCAGCCUGGGAUAAGCGAUUCAUAUGCAUUGCCUCAUUUAAUCCUCACCACAUUAUCAAAUAGAUACUGUUUUGACUUCCCUUUUAAAGAAAGCGAUUUUAUUUUAUUUUUUAAAGUUUUAUUGGAGUAUAGUUGAUUUACAAUGUUGUGUUAGUUUCAGGUGUACAGCAAAGUCAUUCAGUUAUACAUAUACAUAUACUCAUUCUUUUUCAGAUUCUUUUCUCAUAUAGGUUAUCUCAGAAUACUGAGCUCCCUGUGCCAUACAGUAGACCUGUGUUGCUUAUCCAUCUUAUAUAUAGUAGUGUGUGUAUGUUAAUCCCAAACUCCUGAUUUAUCCCUACUCCACCACGUUUCCCCUUUGGUAACCAUAAGUUUGUUUUCGAUGUCUGUAAGUCUGUUUCUGUUUUGUAAAUAAGUUCAUUUGUAUCAUUUUUUAAAAAAAUAGUUUCCACAUAUGAGUGAUAGCAUAUGAUAUUUGUCUUUCUCUGUAUGACUUACUUCACUUAGUAUGAUAAUCUCUAGGUCAUCCACGUUGAUGCAAAUGGAAUUAUUUCGUUCUUUUUUUAUGGCUGAGUAACACUCCAUUGUAUGCACGUACCACUUCUUCUUUAUCCAUUCCUCUGUCGAAGGUGGCUUCCAUGUCUUGGUUAUUGUAAAUAGUGCUGCUAUGAACAUAGGGGUUCAGGUAUCUUUUCAAAUUAUGGUCUUCUCCAGAUAUAUAUGCCCAGGAGUGGGAUUGCUGGAUCAUAUGGUAGUUCUGUUUCUAGUUUUCUUUUUUUUUUAAUAAAUUUAUUUAUUUUAUUUAUUUAUUUUUGGCUGUGUUGGGUCUUCGUUGCAGUACGUGGGCUUCUCAUUGCGGUGGCUUCUCUCAUUGUGGAGCACGGGCUCUAGGCUCACGGGCUUCAGUAGUUGUGGCCUGUGGGCUCAGUAGUUGUGGCACACGGGCCUAGUUGCUCCGCAGCAUGUGGGAUCUUCCCUGACCAGGGCUCGAACCCGUGUCCCCUGCAUUGGCAGGCAGAUUCUUAACCACUGCACCACCAGGGAAGUCCGAGGCACUUCCUUUUUUUUUUUUUUUGCUCUUCCUUUUUAAAAGAAAAUAUAUUUUCCCCUGAUAGUAUAAAAAAAAAAAUCCAUGCUCAUUAUAAACAAUCCACACAAUACAGAAAAGUAUAUAGCAAAAAAGUAAAAAUCAUCUCUAAAUUUUUUCUUCUAGAGAUACCACUAUUAUUAAAUUGGAGCAUCAUUCCAGAAAUAACUUUCUAUACUUAUAUCUAUAUGUAUAUUUUUAGUAUGUAAUAUACAAUCUCAUGUAAAUGAAAUUGUAUUCUAUAUGCCAUUUGGUAACUCUUUUUCUCACUCAACAUUGUGGACAUCCUCCCGUAACAACUAAUAGAGAUUUACAAUACUUUUUUUACAGAUAUUUCAAAUUUCAUUUAUUAUUUUGAAUAUUACAUGUAUUCACACAAAUUAAAAAUUGCAGUUAUCAAAAAGUAUGUUUUAAAAAACCCUACUCC
This 1909-nucleotide long non-coding RNA is filed under the name Phocoena sinus (vaquita). RNAcentral describes it as "lncRNA (ENSPSNG00000016518.1)". Lineage: Eukaryota; Metazoa; Chordata; Mammalia; Artiodactyla; Phocoenidae. The record is from RNAcentral.